GACGAACGCUGGCGGCGUGCUUAACACAUGCAAGUCGAGCGGUAAGGCCCUUUCGGGGGUACACGAGCGGCGAACGGGUGAGUAACACGUGGGUGACCUGCCCUCAGCUCUGGGAUAAGCCUGGGAAACCGGGUCUAAUACCGGAUAUGACUCCAUGACGCAUGUUGUGGGGUGGAAAGCCUUGUGCGGCUGAGGAUGGGCCCGCGGCCUAUCAGCUUGUUGGUGGGGUGAUGGCCUACCAAGGCGACGACGGGUAGCCGGCCUGAGAGGGCGACCGGCCACACUGGGACUGAGACACGGUCCAGACUCCUACGGGAGGCAGCAGGUGGGGAAUCUUGCGCAAUGGGCGAAAGCCUGACGCAGCGACGCCGCGUGAGGGAUGACGGCCU
Molecule: ribosomal RNA, 389 nt
Filed under: uncultured bacterium
Lineage: Bacteria
Description: bacterial SSU rRNA
Rfam family: Bacterial small subunit ribosomal RNA
Source: RNAcentral